This 488-nucleotide ribosomal RNA is filed under the name uncultured bacterium. Its description in RNAcentral is "bacterial SSU rRNA". It matches the Rfam family "Bacterial small subunit ribosomal RNA", at positions 28 to 507 of the family's 1533-position model. The record is from RNAcentral.
GAUGAACGCUAGCGGCAGGCCUAACACAUGCAAGUCGAGGGGUAACAUAGAAAAGCUUGCUUUUCUGAUGACGACCGGCGCACGGGUGCGUAACGCGUAUACAACCUACCUUUUAGCGGGGAAUAGCCCAGGGAAACUUGGAUUAAUGCCCCAUAGUAUAUAGACUUCUCCUGAAGUUUAUAUUUAAACAUUUAUGGCUAUUAGAUGGGUAUGCGUCCUAUUAGUUAGUUGGUAAGGUAACGGCUUACCAAGGCAGCGAUAGGUAGGGGUCCUGAGAGGGAGAUCCCCACACUGGUACUGAGACACGGACCAGACUCCUACGGGAGGCAGCAGUGAGGAAUAUUGGACAAUGGGCGAGAGCCUGAUCCAGCCAUGCCGCGUGCAGGAAGACUGCCCUAUGGGUUGUAAACUGCUUUUACAGAGGAAGAACCACCCUCACGUGUGGGGGUUUGACGGUACUCUGCGAAUAAGGAUCGGCUAACUCCGUG